GAAUACUUAUGGAUACGCCUAAUUUUAUUCAUUACGAUAUGAGCGAAAUAUUCUUAAGGACAGUGUACUUGACACGCCUCAAACUAAACCUUAUUUUCAGUAAUACAAUAUUUUUCCAACAGUUUGCCCAUCUACAAUUUGGGGAGGAAUAUAUCAAAGUGUCAUUCCAUGAGUGGCUGGCCGAUUUUGCAAAUUCACCCAUGCCUUUGGUCCAUCCCUGUUAUUUGCAGGGUACACUGUUGCAUUGAGCUGCUCCAUAGGUUUCUCAGUAACAAUAUUAGCUACAGUGGGUUCAAAUUUAUCUAUGCUCGGCUCCUUUGCAUUUUCCCCCUCCUUUGAUAAAUCACUGGAGCUAAUACUCUGCUAAGGGUUAGCCAGAACUCCUGUUCCAUUGAUUUUUUCACCAGAUAUAGCUGUGUCAAGCUUACCCAAUUGCCCUGUUAGUAAUGGAGUACUAAGGGUCAAUUUCCUGCUCACUCCAGUGAUAAUACUACCUCACUUGAGAUCAUCUCCGGCGUCAUCGUCCCUUGCGUUUGAGAUAGAAUUACCUUCCCAGCUUGUGCGCUAGUGCUUACGGAGCUUCCGAAAGCAAUAAUAGGUAUUUUGUUUGGCCUUCCUCAUCUGUGACCUCGUCCUUUCCACAUGGCAUCCACACCAGCAUACAUUAGCUAACGUGUGCUGAGAGCAUUAUUUGUUCUAUAUCAUUAUCACUAAGUUUUUUGGCAAGUCUGAUUCUCAUGAAUAAAACCAAUAUGGCUCCGAUUUUAGGGAUUUCUACAAGAUACUAGCCCUAUACAUUAAAGAAAAGAGAAUAUCUUCAAGAUUCUGGCACAUCACCACCGAUUCACUCUCGAUUAGGGUUUGUGCACGAUUUGAGCUAAUCCAACUUUGAUUCGGUUUGCAUUCGACUGAUUUUUUUCCUUGUGUGUUUGAUUAGUACUUAAACUAUAUAAACCCCCUCUCCUCUUCCGCUCUAGUCAUACUUAAGUCACUCAUUUCUCCUGCUUUCAUUGAUACUUACUUUUCGGUUAAGUAUUUGGAUAUUUGAAGUUUGUAUUCUCUAGAUUUCAUCUACAACAGGUUGAAAGCCAAGGCUAUUGAAACUCUGGUUAGCUAAUCCUCCCCUAGCACAAGUAGUGCUCGGGGUUCUCUGAAACCCUCAUGAACACUGAAGUGCUAGGAAUCGAGGAUUUUGGGAUUCAAGAACUUCUUGAAGUUAUUCACUGGUCAAGGCUCUCACUCUAUUGGGUUACUUUGGGAUUAUUACUCUAAUUUCUGGUUUUAUUAUCUUUGAUAUUUCUCUUGCGUAACUGGUUAGUCCCCUUUACUAUGCAUUUUCUUUCCUAUGUGUUCAAUUGCAGAUUAUGAACAUGUUUCUUUUCAAUUUAGGCCUUGUGUGAAUUCUUAGCAAAAGCAUGCUUAUAGGAGAAUUUAUAUUAGUGUUUCAUGCUCUCGAAUUCAACUUUAGAGUUGUUAAAUGCUUACUCAUGUUGUGAAAAACUCCUCCGCAUAUGAAUAUGAUCAUAGCAUGCUUCAUUAGUUGGUUUCUUCCUAACUAGCUAGCUACUGUCAUGACUUAAAAAACUUAGUCUCUUGUGAACCAAAUUUGAUGCUUGGCUAUCCUUCAUCGUGGAAAAUAUUAUAUGCCUGUAUAUUUUCUUGUGCAUGCCUAUUACCUUGCCUUAUUGAAUUGACUCUUAUCUGGUUGGAAUAUGUUUUGAAACCUGAAGAAUAUGGUUAUAUGGCAUCUAGUUUCUGCUUACAUAUGUUUCACCUAGUUAACCUUAUUACUCAAUUAAAAUUUGAUAGAUACUGAUCAAUUUAAUAUUUCUAGUAUCGCUUGCCUAAAGAGGUCUCGAGUCAAAUUGCACUCUGGCUUGAUUGAUUGUGCCGUCUGCUGCUACUGUGGGAUCUCAGGGUUGAGUGCUGGGUCUUGAUCGCGUUGGGAAACAUCCUGAAGGCCCAAUACUUACCUGGGACUGUGAUUAUAAUUUUCUUCGCUGUGUAUUUGUUCAUUUUAGUUUACUUCAUUCUUGGGUCUGUAAUAAUGAUGUAACUAACUAUGGGGAUGUUAGUACAAUUUGGGGACAGGGAACAUUAUAUAUUUCAUCACUUAUUAGACAACGUGCUUAUAGGAUCAUACGAUGGGUAGAAAUCAUGUCUAUAGAAUGUUGUCCUUUUAUACUUUUCUCUCGCAUUCGCUCUUUGUUAUGCCUAGAAACCAUGCCUAUAGGAUUUAAUAUGCAA
Molecule: long non-coding RNA, 2247 nt
Filed under: Nicotiana tabacum (common tobacco)
Lineage: Eukaryota; Viridiplantae; Streptophyta; Magnoliopsida; Solanales; Solanaceae
Description: long non-coding RNA (NTAB_LNC007559)
Source: RNAcentral